GAUGAACGCUGGCGACGUGCCUAGUACAUGCAAGUCGAGCGAACGGACGAGAAGCUUGCUUCUCUGAUGUUAGCGGCGGACGGGUGAGUAACACGUGGAUAACCUACCUAUAAGACUGGGAUAACUUCGGGAAACCGGAGCUAAUACCGGAUAAUAUUUUGAACCGCAUGGUUCAAAAGUGAAAGACGGUCUUGCUGUCACUUAUAGAUGGAUCCGCGCUGCAUUAGCUAGUUGGUAAGGUAACGGCUUACCAAGGCAACGAUGCAUAGCCGACCUGAGAGGGUGAUCGGCCACACUGGAACUGAGACACGGUCCAGACUCCUACGGGAGGCAGCAGUAGGGAAUCUUCCGCAAUGGGCGAAAGCCUGACGGAGCAACGCCGCGUGAGUGAUGAAGGUCUUCGGAUCGUAAAACUCUGUUAUUAGGGAAGAACAUAUGUGUAAGUAACUGUGCACAUCUUGACGGUACCUAAUCAGAAAGCCACGGCUAACUACGUG
Molecule: ribosomal RNA, 497 nt
Filed under: uncultured bacterium
Lineage: Bacteria
Description: partial 16S ribosomal RNA
Rfam family: Bacterial small subunit ribosomal RNA
Source: RNAcentral